UGUAUUCUCAGCGCCACAUGAAGCAG
RNAcentral lists this non-coding RNA (26 nucleotides) under Mus musculus (house mouse). Lineage: Eukaryota; Metazoa; Chordata; Mammalia; Rodentia; Muridae. The record is from RNAcentral.